CUGUUUCUUAGUUUGCCUGAGAGAGGAGCAUGGUUUGAAGAAAUGAAAACGCUUGCUGGGCCUAAAGCUGUAGAGAAAGGAACAAGGAGGAGGAGAAAGGUGGAAAUUGCAUGUGAAAGGUAGAGAAGAUGAAGAAGGUUUUAUGGAGAGGGUGCGCAUUUUAAGCAGAGAGUGUUGUGGAGAAUAAGAACAACCACUCCUGCUCCUGGUGCUGAUGGG
RNAcentral lists this long non-coding RNA (219 nucleotides) under Carica papaya (papaya). RNAcentral describes it as "long non-coding RNA (CPAP_LNC011113)". Lineage: Eukaryota; Viridiplantae; Streptophyta; Magnoliopsida; Brassicales; Caricaceae. The record is from RNAcentral.